This 379-nucleotide ribosomal RNA is filed under the name uncultured bacterium. RNAcentral describes it as "bacterial SSU rRNA". It matches the Rfam family "Bacterial small subunit ribosomal RNA", at positions 29 to 423 of the family's 1533-position model. The record is from RNAcentral.
GUGAACGCUGGCGGCGUGCUUAAGACAUGCAAGUCGAACGCGGUCUUCGGACCGAGUGGCGCACGGGUGAGUAACGCGUAACUGACCUACCCAGAAGUCAUGAAUAACUGGCCGAAAGGUCAGCUAAUACGUGAUGUGAUGAUUCGCUUUGGCGAAUCAUUAAAGAUUUAUCGCUUCUGGAUGGGGUUGCGUUCCAUCAGCUAGUUGGUGGGGUAAAGGCCUACCAAGGCGACGACGGAUAGCCGGCCUGAGAGGGUGGCCGGCCACAGGGGCACUGAGACACGGGUCCCACUCCUACGGGAGGCAGCAGUUAGGAAUCUUCCACAAUGGGCGCAAGCCUGAUGGAGCGACGCCGCGUGAGGGAUGAAGGUUCUCGGAU